AGCGUGAAAUGUUCUGGAAGCCACCAAGAUAAAAAGGCCACGCAAGCACGCAAGGGAGAUUCUAACCAGGUCCGCAGCAGCGAUAACAGUACGCAAGAAAAAGGAGGGGGGACUUAACAUUUGAUGGAUAACAAAGCACCUGGCCAGGAGGGUUCUUUGGAGCUAGCCCAUUUUAAUGUUGCAAAUGGGGUUGUACUGACUGAUGGUGAUGGAGCUGAGAAGUUCAGGUCUAAACUGAUUUCAAUUUCCUAUGCACAGUCG
Molecule: long non-coding RNA, 261 nt
Organism: Vitis riparia (riverbank grape)
Lineage: Eukaryota; Viridiplantae; Streptophyta; Magnoliopsida; Vitales; Vitaceae
Exons: 3
Source: RefSeq, a predicted model, not a curated record